CAUCUACUCGUAGAGAUGAUGAUGCCGACCCUUGAUACAUAUUGUAGAUUGUGUCACUUGACAGCUAGGAGUGAUGUCUACAGCUUCGGGGCAUGGAGGCAGGGCUUAUGCUUUGUGAUUGCCAGCUUGUCCCAGGAUCACUACAGAUUGGCAUUUAUGGACGACUUUGAACCUUCUAGUCAUGUGGCUGAUUCUACUAAAUCUGACAAUGACAAUGAUGAGGUUGCAGCCAUGGCAAAGUCCUUAAAGAAGAAGGCAAAGGAGUUUAAGCAGCAGGAAGCCCAUGAAAAUGUCAAUGCUGAGUCAUAUAUUGUCAAUGCAGAAAAUGCGCGUUCUAAAAAGAAGCUGAAAUCUUCCAAGUCUAAUUAAUCAAAGGCCAGUUUCAAUCACAUGGAGAGAGGGGACAGGAUUGCUUUUUUCCUUUGAUUUUCUUUAUUGAAACAAAAGCACUGUGUUUUUAUCUUAUAAACCGAAAGGAGUAGAAGUGAAAGCUCAAUUUUCAGGUUGGCUGCUCUGCGACGCGAUGAUCCUAGUACUUUUGUUUUGAGCAACUGCUUCAUACCGUCAUGGUGUUAAGAACCAACCAACAAUUAUAUGCUGUCUUGUAACACAUCAGUUUUGAGGGUGUCAAAAUCAGUUGAACAGGUCGACUGUUUUUAGCCUUUGU
This is a non-coding RNA of Phoenix dactylifera (date palm), 667 nucleotides long. Lineage: Eukaryota; Viridiplantae; Streptophyta; Magnoliopsida; Arecales; Arecaceae. The record is from RefSeq and is a predicted model, not a curated record.